This 459-nucleotide ribosomal RNA is filed under the name uncultured bacterium. RNAcentral describes it as "partial 16S ribosomal RNA". It matches the Rfam family "Bacterial small subunit ribosomal RNA", at positions 338 to 795 of the family's 1533-position model. The record is from RNAcentral.
CCUACGGGAGGCAGCAGUGAGGAAUAUUGGUCAAUGGGCGGGAGCCUGAACCAGCCAAGUCGCGUGAAGGAAGAAGGUACUUAGUAUUGUAAACUUCUUUUGUCGGGGAACAAAGGCGGAGACGCGUCCCCGGAUGAGUGUACCCGAAGAAAAAGCAUCGGCUAACUCCGGGCGAGGAGCCGCGGUAAUACGGGGGAUGCGAGCGUUAUCCGGAUUUAUUGGGUGGAAAGGGUGCGCAGGAGGGAGAGAAAGUCAGCGGUAAAAUGUCGGGGCGCAACCCCGGCCGGCCGUUGAAACUGGUUUUCUAGAGUUGGAGAGAAGUAUGCGGAAUGCGUGGUGUAGCGGUGAAAUGCAUAGAUAUCACGAAGAACUCCGAUUGCGAAGGCAGCAUACCGGCUCCAUACUGACGCUGAGGCACGAAAGCGUGGGGAUCGAACAGGAUUAGAUACCCUUGUAGUC